This is a long non-coding RNA of Gambusia affinis (western mosquitofish), 2568 nucleotides long. RefSeq lists it as uncharacterized. Lineage: Eukaryota; Metazoa; Chordata; Actinopteri; Cyprinodontiformes; Poeciliidae. The record is from RefSeq and is a predicted model, not a curated record. The transcript is spliced from 10 exons.
ACUCCUUCACUGCAGAGUAAGAUACUGUAAAUAAGUCAAAUGCAGAGACAUAGUUUCCUCCUCUCUUCCGAAGUCAACAUGAAUGACUACACUUAAAUAUUUAUCUAACGCGUAUUUUCAGUCGAACCAGGAAAUAAUAAGUAAAGGAGCUGAAAGGUCCAAACGGAAAGAAAACACAGGCUUUGUGAACGUCCUGCUAGAAACGGCCUUUUCCUGCCUCCUUUUCUCAACUCGUGUCCAGGACAGACUUGGUUUAGGAUGAAGGGAUAUAUUUGUUCAGAAUGAGCGGAUUUAUUUAUAAGCUUUCCACACUUUAAAUCAAAGUUGUUCAUGUCUGGAAACCAGCUGGUGAUUCAAACCGUCUCUGCAGAGGACAGCAGGCUGUGCUACUGUGGGAUGAAGCAGAACGAUCAGAUGGUUUACAAAGAAAAAAACCUUCAGCCUAUCAGCUCAGUGCUGCUUUACUGGGCGAGGAAGAGGAGGGUCCAGGAGGAAGAAGCUCCUCCAGUCUGCCCAGCGAGGAUCUGAACCGGUCCCAUCAACGUCGUUUUCUUCCGUUUGAAACAAGGCCUCUCUGAAGAAAAGCAGCGACGACCAGGUCCAUCAGGGUUUAUCGGUCAGCAGAAACCUCGGCCUUCCUGACUCGUUAGAUCGCUAUAAAACCGUCGCAGUGAAGACGUACAACUUGCUCUGUUUUACCGUGUCUGGAACAGAAUAAUCUAGUGUCUAGAUAGUGACUGACAUUUGCGUUUCAAUUAUGUGAUUGAAGUGUUUUCGAAACAUUUAGGAUUGAAGAUUAAAAACUUUAAACAUUGUUUGUGUGUAAAUCUGUUCCACCAGAAAUCCUCCAGUUCAGUUGUAGCUUCACCUGAUUGACAUCCUGUAAAAACUUCAUUUCAAUCACCUUCAGCAUCCAGUUCUGAACCAGUGAAUCUAUAUAUUGAUCAGGAUCGAUACAGAUCAUCCACACUCUGUAUGGAUGUUCAGUCCAGCAGAAGGUGUUGAGCUUUUCAGAUAUUUCAGUUGCAGAUUCAUCCUUUGCUCUACAUGAUCAAACGUUCACUAAAGUAACACUGUUAUAGUUUUAGAGACUUUUUGUCUUUUUUUAAAAAGGAAUAAAAUGAUGUUUAUAAUCUUGUAUUUGUGAUAAUGUAUGAAAUCAUCUCCAGUAGCUCACGAACUGCAGAAAGUUUCAGUUUUAGAAGAUUUGGUUGUUUUGAAAUGUUAUUUGAAGACGCUGCAGGUGCAGCUUCUGUCCACUAGACGGCGACAUUCCGCAACCUGCUGGGGACAGUUGAUGAUUUUAUUGUCUAAAUUUAGUUUUAUUUAUAUAAUUUAAGGUCAAUUAUUAUGUUUGUGAGAAGCGCUUUAUUAAUAAGCUGUAUGUAUUUAUAUUUAUGUAAAAGUGACACAUUUAGGCAAAAGGUUUUUUAUAUUUCCGUUGUCUUUGCACCAAAAAAGGUUAAAAUGACCAAAGUCCCCAGAAAAUGAUGCGAAUGGACCCAAAAGCAGAAAAGUGCAGCACAAUCAUCAUAGUAAAAAUGACAAGAAGAGACCGAAAGUGAACGAAUCAUCCGGAGGAGGUGAUCAGCGCUGAUUGGAGUCACCUGUGGGGAACCGGAUAAAAAGGAACGGGAUGAGCCGGAGGCGUUUAGUUGAGCUCUGGAUCAGGUUCGGUUCGGUGGGUCUCCAGGUUGUGCUCCAGAGUUUUUCAGCGUCGUGUCCAUCUGUGAGUCCACGGGUGGGUUUCAUCUGCACCCGAGCGGCUCCUUAAAACUUCAUCUGGCGUUUGGAGCAGCGAUAGUAAAGGCUGUUUUCAGAGCAGCUUCUUUGUUGGCUUCCAGUCCGCCGCAGACAGCAGGUGAAACUGAUUGUGACCGAUUCCUGAUUCAUGGUCAAACACAGAUCUCCGUGGACCCACAGCCUCCUGGUUCGGUUCUGUGAGGUCCACCAUGUCGGACGAGCUGACAGCAGCUGAUUUAGAUUGUAGUGUUUGUGGUUCUGUUCCUGGAGGAAUGAACAGCUGCUGACAGAGCCUGGAGGUGAACUUUGACCUGAAGCUGCCCUGGUUCAUUGUCUAUGCUGAAUACCAACUGAGCCAGAUGUAGAGCCUUGUUUCCAUGGUUACAGGCAUGGCCUGCUUAUUGAGCCUGGAGGUGAACUUUGACCUGAAGCUGCCCUGGUUCAUUGUCCUCCUCAAUACAAGUAAAAUGUUUAAUCAGUGAAAGUUUGUCUCCUCCAGCUUUAUUUCUGCAGAUUUUCUUUGCUGAUUACCAAUUGAGCCAGAUGUCCAACAGGUGUGGAGCCUUGUUUCCAUGAAAUGUUUCCAGCCAUCAUGAUCUGUACUGAAAUGUUUUGCAUCUUGUGUUCAAUACAUGUGAUUGUUGCUACUUUUGAGUAGCAACAAUCACAUGUAUUGAGUUUUUUGUUUAAAUAAAAAGUAAAAACCCUGCUUGUUUCAUGUGCCUUUUCCUCUUUUAGACCCUUGAAAAGUUAAAGUUAAAGUUAAAGUUAAAGUUAAAGUUAAAGUUAAAGUUAAAGUUAAAGUUAAAGUUAAAGUUAAAGUUA